Molecule: ribosomal RNA, 549 nt
Filed under: uncultured Glomus
Lineage: Eukaryota; Fungi; Glomeromycota; Glomeromycetes; Glomerales; Glomeraceae
Description: SSU rRNA
Rfam family: Eukaryotic small subunit ribosomal RNA
Source: RNAcentral
UUGGAGGGCAAGUCUGGUGCCAGCAGCCGCGGUAAUUCCAGCUCCAAUAGCGUAUAUUAAAGUUGUUGCAGUUAAAAAGCUCGUAGUUGAAUUUCGGGGUUAGUAGGUUGGUCAUGCCUCAGGUAUGUACUGAUCUCACUGAUUCCUCCUUCCUGACGAACCGUAAUGCCAUUAAUUUGGUGUUGCGGGGAGACUGGACUGUUACUUUGAAAAAAUUAGAGUGUUUAAAGCAGGCUAACGCUUGAAUACAUUAGCAUGGAAUAAUGAAAUAGGACGUUCGAUCCUAUUUUGUUGGUUUCUAGGAUUGACGUAAUGAUUAAUAGGGAUAGUUGGGGGCAUUAGUAUUCAAUUGUCAGAGGUGAAAUUCUUGGAUUUAUUGAAGACUAACUACUGCGAAAGCAUUUGCCAAGGAUGUUUUCAUUAAUCAAGAACGAAAGUUAGGGGAUCGAAGACGAUCAGAUACCGUCGUAGUCUUAACCAUAAACUAUGCCGACUAGGGAUCGGAUGAUGUUAAUUUUUUAAUGACUCAUUCGGCGCCUUACGGGAAAC